RNAcentral lists this ribosomal RNA (418 nucleotides) under uncultured eukaryote. RNAcentral describes it as "bacterial SSU rRNA". It matches the Rfam family "Bacterial small subunit ribosomal RNA", at positions 368 to 802 of the family's 1533-position model. The record is from RNAcentral.
GGAAUAUGUGCUAGUCUGACGGAGCAUACCGCGUGAGGGAAGACGGCCUAUGGGUUGUAAACCUCUUUUUUCAGGGAGGAAUAAAUGACGUGUACCUGAAGAAUAAGCAUCGGCUAACUCCGUGCCAGCAGCCGCGGUAAGACGGAGGAUGCAAGUGUUAUCCGGAAUCACUGGGCGUAAAGCGUCUGUAGGUGGUUUAAUAAGUCAACUGUUAAAUCUUGAGGCUCAACCUCAAAAUCGCAGUCGAAACUAUUAGACUAGAGUAUAGUAGGGGUAAAGGGAAUUUCCAGUGGAGCGGUGAAAUGCGUAAAUAUUGGAAAGAACACCGAUGGCAAAGGCACUUUACUGGGCUAUUACUGACACUCAAAGACGAAAGCUAGGGUAGCAAAUGGGAUUAAAUACCCCCCAGUAAAAACAA